This 74-nucleotide transfer RNA is filed under the name Clostridiales bacterium. RNAcentral's name for it is "tRNA-Gly". It matches the Rfam family "tRNA". From Rfam's summary of the family: Transfer RNA (tRNA) molecules are approximately 80 nucleotides in length. The record is from RNAcentral. Lineage: Bacteria; Bacillati; Bacillota; Clostridia; Eubacteriales.
GCGGGUGUGGUUCAAUGGUAGAACGUGGCCUUCCCAAGGCUAAAACGAGGGUUCGAUUCCCUUCACCCGCUCCA